This 521-nucleotide ribosomal RNA is filed under the name Thelonectria theobromicola. RNAcentral's name for it is "SSU rRNA". It matches the Rfam family "Eukaryotic small subunit ribosomal RNA", at positions 65 to 590 of the family's 1831-position model. The record is from RNAcentral. Lineage: Eukaryota; Fungi; Ascomycota; Sordariomycetes; Hypocreales; Nectriaceae.
AUAAGCAAUUAUACGGCGAAACUGCGAAUGGCUCAUUAUAUAAGUUAUCGUUUAUUUGAUAGUGCCUUACUACUUGGAUAACCGUGGUAAUUCUAGAGCUAAUACAUGCUAAGUAUCCCGACUUCGGAAGGGAUGUAUUUAUUAGAUUAAAAACCAAUGCCCUCCGGGGCUCCUUGGUGAUUCAUGAUAACUCGUCGAAUCGCACGGCCUUGCGCCGGCGAUGGUUCAUUCAAAUUUCUUCCCUAUCAACUUUCGAUGUUUGGGUCUUGGCCAAACAUGGUUGCAACGGGUAACGGAGGGUUAGGGCUCGACCCCGGAGAAGGAGCCUGAGAAACGGCUACUACAUCCAAGGAAGGCAGCAGGCGCGCAAAUUACCCAAUCCCGACACGGGGAGGUAGUGACAAUAAAUACUGAUACAGGGCUCUUUUGGGUCUUGUAAUCGGAAUGAGUACAAUUUAAAUCCCUUAACGAGGAACAAUUGGAGGGCAAGUCUGGUGCCAGCAGCCGCGGUAAUUCCAGCU